GUUGGCUGUGGACUUGGAAAAAGUCACAUGAAAACCAUCAUCCAAAGAUAUUGAGGGUAAGGAUCUUUGUGAUGAAAUUUCUAUAAAUGGUGCAGUCUCCGCCUCAGUUUGAGGCUGAAAAGGAUGCUCCAGAACAAGACACUAACUAGCAGCAGUGCUGUUUCAGCUGCCCUGGACCCAAGGUAGAAUUUCUCUCCUGUGUCUGCAGUGAGUGAGACAGAACUGAACUGCUUUGCCUGAAGCAAGUGAAAUGAUGAUUCCUCUCUUGUUGUUUGUAAGCUUUCUGUUUCCAUCUUACAUGUCCC
Molecule: non-coding RNA, 305 nt
Organism: Kogia breviceps (pygmy sperm whale)
Lineage: Eukaryota; Metazoa; Chordata; Mammalia; Artiodactyla; Physeteridae
Source: RefSeq, a predicted model, not a curated record